GAGCCAACUGCCUAUCCAUGUUUGACUCUGUCCGAGAGGGGCAAGCAGGCAAUCCGGUUCAUUAGUGGUGAAAAGGAGGAGAGGAUGGAGGGAGCGAGGAGGAUGGGAGGGAGGGAGCGAGGAAGAAGAGAGAUGUGUGCUGUAUCCUGAGCAAUCUAUCUAGCUGGUGCUGAGGGUUAAUAGCUGCUGCCAAAGAUAAGUGAAUUAUAAGCUGUUGCUUUCACCUCCACACAAUCUAUUGCCAAAUUGCCCAGUCACAAAAUGAGGGUGUGGACUUUUCCCUUUUUUUUUACUUUGUAUUAUUAAGGAAAAAUUAAAGUUUUAAUUUUGAAGGGGGAUAUCUAAGAGGCCUUUGAAAUAAAAAAAAAUGGGGAAAUCUUUUUUUUUUCCUUUCAGAUGAAACAAACCGAGACGCGUGUUGCAAAUGUUUUGUCUGUUGCACCCAGAUUGCAAAUAUCUUUUUUGCACAGAACUCUCGCUUUUUCCUGCACAUUUUCAAGUCGCUUAUUAGAACUUAACCCCUGAUUACACGCACCAAGGCGAUUUAAAUCUGAUUAUCAAAUUAGGAGACUUUGAGACAAAUCCUCUUAGAUCUGAUACUGUUGACUGGAGAGGGAAAAUGGAUCUCCACACCCGUCACGUAGGUAACGAUGCUGUCCUGAAAGGGACUUUUAAACCGUAUUUGACAACAAAUGCAGCUGCCCCCGCUAUUUCAGAAGAUAUUAGAGGAAAAUGAAUGCAAAUCUGUGUGCAGGAGCCAUCUGGACGUGGAGAGAGGGAGUCAGCUGCUGCGCACACUGAGGCGCGGAGCCUGAAUCCGUCUCAGCUCAUUCUGUGGGAUCAUCUGCGUGGUGGGCUUACACCGUGGAAAAUGCGCUCUCCAUCAUUAGGUGAAAAUGUUAUAGCAUCAAAAUAAAGGAAAAAUGUUGAUCCUCGUUUGUUUUUUUUCCUGCAACUUUAGCGUGGAAUUAGAGGAUCACGCUUUUUUUCCUCCAUUUCUCACCUUACAAAAUAAAAGCCUUUUUUUUUUAAAGAGCUCUGCACGCUGGAGGUAAGUGGUGGGUGAAAACAAGUGCAAACUAUCUGUGCAUCAUUUAAAUGACCGCUUGAUGACACGGC
Molecule: non-coding RNA, 1119 nt
Organism: Xyrichtys novacula (pearly razorfish)
Lineage: Eukaryota; Metazoa; Chordata; Actinopteri; Labriformes; Labridae
Source: the annotation of a GenBank genome assembly